RNAcentral lists this ribosomal RNA (567 nucleotides) under Salmonella enterica subsp. enterica serovar Infantis. RNAcentral describes it as "bacterial SSU rRNA". It matches the Rfam family "Bacterial small subunit ribosomal RNA", at positions 1 to 559 of the family's 1533-position model. Lineage: Bacteria; Pseudomonadati; Pseudomonadota; Gammaproteobacteria; Enterobacterales; Enterobacteriaceae. The record is from RNAcentral.
AAAUUGAAGAGUUUGAUCAUGGCUCAGAUUGAACGCUGGCGGCAGGCCUAACACAUGCAAGUCGAACGGUAGCACAGAGAGCUUGCUCUCGGGUGACGAGUGGCGGACGGGUGAGUAAUGUCUGGGAAACUGCCUGAUGGAGGGGGAUAACUACUGGAAACGGUGGCUAAUACCGCAUAACGUCGCAAGACCAAAGAGGGGGACCUUCGGGCCUCUUGCCAUCAGAUGUGCCCAGAUGGGAUUAGCUUGUUGGUGAGGUAACGGCUCACCAAGGCGACGAUCCCUAGCUGGUCUGAGAGGAUGACCAGCCACACUGGAACUGAGACACGGUCCAGACUCCUACGGGAGGCAGCAGUGGGGAAUAUUGCACAAUGGGCGCAAGCCUGAUGCAGCCAUGCCGCGUGUAUGAAGAAGGCCUUCGGGUUGUAAAGUACUUUCAGCGGGGAGGAAGGUGUUGUGGUUAAUAACCGCAGCAAUUGACGUUACCCGCAGAAGAAGCACCGGCUAACUCCGUGCCAGCAGCCGCGGUAAUACGGAGGGUGCAAGCGUUAAUCGGAAUUACUGGGC